Molecule: small nuclear RNA, 108 nt
Filed under: Catagonus wagneri (Chacoan peccary)
Lineage: Eukaryota; Metazoa; Chordata; Mammalia; Artiodactyla; Tayassuidae
Source: RNAcentral
GUACUCACUUCAUUAAUACAAUGAACUGACAUUGGAACAAUGCAGAGAUGAUUAGCAUGGCCCCUGAACAAGAGUGACAUGUAAAUUCGUGAAGCAUCUUUAUUUAUA